UUUUCCUUCCUGAAAAUUGUCUGUGGAAGAUCUGCUGCUCAGGUGUGCAUGCCAAGUUUUCAUUAUGAAGGCUCCCUGCUGUGAAAAAAAGUUUAAAUUUGUGAGCACGAGCAGCCCUGACUUUGAAUCUUGCACCUCUGUUUCACUUCUGAGCACAAGAAUAGCGAAGCACACUCCUCCGUGAAUCUGUAUGGUUUGAUUCAUUCGUUUCAGCAAAGGGGAAAAUCUGUGGUGCAUUCAUGCAGGGAGGUCCCUACUAUCCCUGUCCACUGCUGCUGUUGCAUCAGAUGAUGUCCAGUGAGGGUAGCCGGAGGGCAUGAGGAUCACAUCCAGUUGCAUUGCUGCAGUUUCCCUUUAGUUUUUUUCUCUUCUGUGGAUAUCCUGGGUCUCAAUCCUCGGAGCCAGAAAUUUGUAUAAGUGACAGACAAAUCUAGAUUGUGUGCUGUACUUGGAAGUAAAUAUUUCUAUGUGAUAUUUGCACCUACAUGAGCAGAAAUCUCAAGACUAGUCAGAGCUAUAUACAAGGAAGAAAGCCGAAACAAUGUGAAUAAGUGGAAGGAAAGAAAUAUGUAGUUUUGGCCAUUUUCUUUUUAUACUGUUUACUAAAUGGAUUAUA
RNAcentral lists this long non-coding RNA (616 nucleotides) under Anas platyrhynchos platyrhynchos (common mallard). RNAcentral's name for it is "lncRNA (ENSAPLG00000029493.1)". The record is from RNAcentral. Lineage: Eukaryota; Metazoa; Chordata; Aves; Anseriformes; Anatidae.